RNAcentral lists this long non-coding RNA (1705 nucleotides) under Canis lupus familiaris (dog). Its description in RNAcentral is "lncRNA (ENSCAFG00845025455.1)". The record is from RNAcentral. Lineage: Eukaryota; Metazoa; Chordata; Mammalia; Carnivora; Canidae.
UGGGGCAGAGAGUUCUCUUGCAAGACACUGAUAGUUCACUCUAAGUGAGUGUGUAAUCCAAUUUGAUUUGAAGUCUUUCAGACACUCACAGUUUUAAAAGAAUGAAAGGGUUAAGUCUCAUUUGUAAGAAAUCACUAUAAAAUAUUUACAAUUGCAAAAUGUUUCUUUCAUCAACCACUUUCAUUUCACUUGCCUUUACCUCUCUCAUUCCAGAAAUUGCUCUUUGAAAUAAAUGAUAUAUUGUAUCUUCCCCACCACCACCCAGAAUUCACAAAAUCAAACAAGGAGGGCCUUCUGAAUACAUGUUUGGAGGCACAUGGGUGGCCAGUUGGUCAAGCAUCUAACUCUUGAUUUCUGCUCAGAUCAUGAUCUCAGGGUUGUGAGAUCAAGCCCUCUGUAGGGCUCCACAUUUAGCGGAGUCUGCUUGAGCUUCUCUUUCUCACUCUGCUUUUGCCCCUCUCCCUACUUGCACUCCCUUGAGCUCUCUCUCUCUCAAAAUAAAUAAAUAAAAUAUGAUAUACUUGCUUGGAGGAGGUCCAGAAAUACUAGUUAGGGACCUUAAUUCAAGGAUUCAGGUUAAAUAAAUUGUCAUACAGCCACACAAUUAGAUGCUUUGUAGCCAUUUAAAGUGAGAAUAUAGGUCAAUGUUAAUACCAUGGAAACACAUUCAUGAUAUAUAAAGUGGAAAAAAACAAGUUAUAAAACAGUUUUUAUACAUAAGUUCUGUUUAAAAAGAAAAAGAAGGCUGGAGAGAAGUGCAGAGAAAGCCUCUCGGUCGUCUCCGCUCUGGGAGCAGCUCUCCAGCUACAGCCCUUCAUCCCCUGAAAAUGUACGCCUGUGCAAAGUUCGUCUCCACCCCCUUCUUGGUCCGGAGCACCUCUCAGCUGUUGAGCCGAUCACUCUGUCUGCAGUGGUGCUAAAACCACCAGAGACACUGCCAGAUAAGGAAUCCCUCUCUGAAGCAACAGCUCUUCUCCUACGCCAUUCUGGGCUUUGCCCUCUCGGAGGCCCUGGGGCUCUUUGCCUGAUGGUGGCUUUUCUCAUCCUCUUUGCCAUGUGAAGGAGUCGUCUCCACCUCCCAUAGGUCUUUCUCCCAUGUCUUGUCUGCCCUGUAUCCCUGUAUGUUCCUUUUCCUAUACCUCCCCAGGCAGCCUGGGGAAAGUGGUUGGCUCAGGGUUUGACAGAGGAAAGACAAAUAAAUACUGUAUUAAUAAGAAAAAAAAAAAAAGAAGUGCAGAGAAAAAAGAUAUAGAUGGCUAGAGACCAAAGCACAAGCAAACUUUGUCCUGGAUAAUAGGAUUAAAAAUUAUUACUAUUUUCUUUUAUAUCUUCAUCUGUGUUUUCUUAAUUGUUUUUCAAUGAGCAUGUAUUAUCUUUACUAUCCAAAAAAAAAAAAACAACCUAUUUUUUAAAGUGUUCCUUAUAAUAGUACUUCACAACUUCAUAGGCAGAUAUGAUCUUGGGGAGGAUUCUAACAGCUGGCCCUGAGGAGAGCCAGAAAUUGAAAUGGGAAGUUAAAAGAAUACCAAAGACAAAUUUCUGAAUUAUAUUUCAAUUAGGUGAAUACAUUUCAGAGAUUUAUUUAUAUUUCUGCCUUCUCUAAGAGACUGUUUUUGGGUGGGUCAAGUACAAUGUCUCAUUCAUUUGUCUAACUCAGAAUAUGGCAUUAAUGCCUGACACACAAUGGGUGCUUAAUAUAGACUCA